RNAcentral lists this long non-coding RNA (954 nucleotides) under Pan troglodytes (chimpanzee). Its description in RNAcentral is "lncRNA (ENSPTRG00000052911.1)". Lineage: Eukaryota; Metazoa; Chordata; Mammalia; Primates; Hominidae. The record is from RNAcentral.
CCUUUCUGUAGAUCAAGUCUCAGUCUUUUAUCAUUUUUUUGGAAUAAAUAAAUUGCUUCCUCCUAGAUAUACCUAAAAAGAUCCAGUCCAGCAUAGCAUCAAAUCUUCAGACUUUUCUUCAACUUAAUCCUUCUCUGGGCCCCAGUUCUAGUCCUCUUUAGCACUGCAUGCUUGCAGGUGGGAUAGGUGCUAUGAGCCCUUCUCUCUCUCUCUCUCUUUUUUUUUUCAGCCUCCUCCACUAAGGAGCUGCAAUAUUGGUCCUGCCGAUUCUGAAGCAGUGGUUGGAGGGCAAAGAAAUAAGAAGCCAUGAAGUUUUAUUUGAAUUGAAGCUAUGUAAUCUGCGUUUGGCUGCUUCUGUGUGUUUCCAUGGGAAUCUUUGAAAAGCAACUGACUACAGCUGAAUCUAUAUGUGUUCUAACAAGAUCAGAUUCAAUUAAAGAUCUGAUGCAUCUGCUCCUCGUGGUUUAUGAAAAAAAUCAACAUGAAUUUAUUGAAUAAUUAAUAUGUACAGAUUAUGCAAACUGUCUGUGAGAAAUUCAAAACCCAAGGAAGCUCCUGCCUGUGUUUUCAUAUCGCAAUAAGAACUGAAGCUAGGCACAUAUUCACCAACAUGAGGGAAUUAAAAUUGGACAACCCUUUCUUACCCACAAUCAAAUUCCAGAGAAACCAAUUGUGAUGCUAAUGAAGGAAAUAGUCAUGGACUUCAUAUUUCUCUAAGUAUUUUCAUGCCCAUCCAUUUGUGGAUUGCAAUAUUUUCCUAACCCAGCUGUUUUUCUGAGUCACUGCCUCUGCCCCAUCCUCUUAGAUGUGACACAGAACAUUUUAAUCAGAGAAGCAAAAAGCUUGUUUUGCUGUUAGAACUAAUGAGUUUCCAAUUGAUAAAUUACAUUAAAUAGUAAAGAUCACAUCAAUAAAUGUCUUGUCCUAAGAUAUUAAAAAAUUAACAUGAAGCCA